UUCGAAUAUACUAAUGAUAUAUAUUUAUAUGUAUGAUAUGGGACGUUCUUGCAUUAUUAUAUGGUCUAGAACUUGCAUAUGGAUCCAUCUAAUUAUUCGACUUAAUAUUUUUGUUUUUGCUAAACUGUAAAUAUCAUGUUAUUAAUGAGAAUGAUUACAUGUUAACAAAAAAAAAAUGAGAAUGAUUACAUAUGUAGAAUUUUAAGUCCG
RNAcentral lists this long non-coding RNA (210 nucleotides) under Brassica rapa (field mustard). Its description in RNAcentral is "long non-coding RNA (BRAP_LNC002586)". The record is from RNAcentral. Lineage: Eukaryota; Viridiplantae; Streptophyta; Magnoliopsida; Brassicales; Brassicaceae.